This is a long non-coding RNA of Mesocricetus auratus (golden hamster), 959 nucleotides long. RefSeq lists it as uncharacterized. NCBI's taxonomy places the organism in Eukaryota, Metazoa, Chordata, Mammalia, Rodentia, Cricetidae. The transcript is spliced from 5 exons. The record is from RefSeq and is a predicted model, not a curated record.
GAUGUAACGCCAUUGGGGUAGGAAGCCCGGAAACCUCUCCGGUAAGUGCAAGCCUCAAUUAUCAUCAAAGAAACUUCUAUUUGCAACAUACAGAGAACACUACAGAAAUAGGACCGAAGGAGGAUGCACCGACUCUGCUGGAUCCCAGAUGGAAAGGAGAUUCAGUUAUCACCCUGCCCCCAACGCAGUAUCAGCUCUACACCAAGACUGAAGAAAACAUGCAACAUGGACCAUAAGUGUGUCUCCACAGUGUUCUGGAUCUAGAGCCAGCUAGCUACUGUCCUUCAUGCUAAGGAAGACAUCAGGAGAGUACAAUCUGUAGACAUCUGUGGGCAUCGGUUUGUGGGAAUUAGACACCGUGUCUUGUUAUGGAACACUCAAGGCUUGCAUAAAUCACCUGGAACCCAGGGACACAGAUAGGAAGACAAUGCCAUAGAAGCGGAUAGCCUUCAGUCCUUAAAGCCAUCUUACCAUCAAGGAGUCACCAGAACGUGGAGAGAAACAGACAUUUGCCAUGAAUCUCCAAUGCAGAGUAGCUUGGAUAACUCAAGACAGAACUGAUGAGUUACAAUACUUCAACGCACAGUGGGAAUUUCCCCACUUAUGAAGUUUCUCUCUUCUUCAGUGCGAGGGAACCAAGUUUUGAUUGAGGAUCCUUAUCCUCAGACGUCUCUGAUAUGACCACAGGGAUCAUGUUUCUGUACCUUGAAAGGAGAAUCAUCUGUUCAUUGAGCAGUCAACUGCAACCAUCACACCACAGAAAUCAGGUCUUGGAUUGAAUUGCCUGUUUUGCUUCCUAAAACCCAAAUGUGCAUGGUUCCUGGGUCAAUUAGUUAAAAAAUAAUUUUGCUGCCAAAGCCAAAAUAGAAAUCUAAGCUAAGUGUAAGCAAAAUAAAAGCAAAUAAUGGGGAUUCCUAGAGUUAAGUCUGUAAGGAAGUGUGGAGAUAAGUCUCUUCAAU